UACAUAGGGCGCAAGCGUUAUCCGGAAUUAUUGGGCGUAAAGAGCUCGUAGGCGGUUUGUCGCGUCUGCUGUGAAAGACCGGGGCUCAACUCCGGUUCUGCAGUGGAUACGGGCAGACUAGAGUGAUGUAGGGGAGACUGGAAUUCCUGGUGUAGCGGUGAAAUGCGCAGAUAUCAGGAGGAACACCGAUGGCGAAGGCAGGUCUCUGGGCAUUAACUGACGCUGAGGAGCGAAAGCAUGGGGAGCGAACAGG
RNAcentral lists this ribosomal RNA (253 nucleotides) under uncultured bacterium. Its description in RNAcentral is "partial 16S ribosomal RNA". It matches the Rfam family "Bacterial small subunit ribosomal RNA", at positions 524 to 776 of the family's 1533-position model. The record is from RNAcentral.